UUUCCGUAGGUGAACCUGCGGAAGGAUCAUUAAUGAGUUGUCAUGGGGUUCGAUGCUGGCAGCCAGUUUUUGGAUGCAUGUGCUUGCCCUAACUAUCAUCUUCUUCCAAACACCUGUGCACAUUUUUGAGGGAGUCUUGAGUUGGUUGCCGCUCUUGGGUGAUUUUCUCACAUCCCCUUAAAUCAUUAUACGCUAUUAACAAUGUUGAACGUGCUCUGUGCCGCAAGGCCAUUAAUAUAAUACAACUUUUAACAACGGAUCUCUUGGCUCUC
Molecule: unclassified non-coding RNA, 272 nt
Filed under: plant metagenome
Description: partial contains small subunit ribosomal RNA, internal transcribed spacer 1, and 5.8S ribosomal RNA
Source: RNAcentral